UGAAGAUGGUACAGAAUAUAACGCCUGACUUCGCAACACAUCUAUUAGUUCCAGAAGUCUGAAGUUCAAGUGAAAAUCAAGUCGCUGCUUCGAACGGGUCAAGUGGCUAUCGCUGCAGUCCUCGAUCUUUGAAGCAUCAGAGAAGAGAGAUAGGGCGAGGAGGAGAGAAGAAAGCGAGGACAUCCUGGUCGCGGGGUCCUCGCCCUCGACGUCUCUGUGCUCGUGUACGUAAGCCGGUACGUGGGCCAGCCAGCUCCCGUCAUCGCUGCUCUCCGGGCCUGUGUACAGUCGACAAUUACACGGGUUACGUCAUCCCCCGGGUAGUCGCCUCCCGGACUCUCGGUACCCGCGUCUCUCACCUCUCGUCCGCAGCGCGCGACCGACACGCGAAACCCGGUUCUUCGACGCUCGGCGGCGUUUCUUUUCACGCGAUACAAUCACCCUGUGGAUGUAUCGCUCCGUUUUUUCGCACGUUCUUUGAUCCGAUGAAAGCUUUUACUGAAAUGGAAGAAUUCAACGCCGGAGGCAGGUGCGAUAUCCGCAAUGCAAUGGAAGCUGGGAGGAAAAGAGCCGAAAAGCUCGACGUGCCUUUUGGUCGAUACUUUGACCACACUAAACGCUUGUUGAAAUUAUUCCGAAUGUGGGAAUUGGACGCCAACUCGUCGAAGUGGCAAAGCAUGUUGAUAGUUUCAAGCACGGCGGUGUUCCUGACGUGCAACUUCAUGCUCGGAUUUUCAGAGAUGAUGAAACUUCGGAUAGCUCCGGAUCUUGCGACUGCUGUAUCCUGUGCCAGUACCUUGUGGCUUCACUUGAUCGGAUUCGUCAAGUGGAUCUACUUGGCAUGGAGAGUUCGGGAUGUCAUGCAGCUCGUUGGACUACUCGAGGAUUGCUAUCAUCUCAGCCUGGGAAAUAACGAAACGGACGAAGACUAUUCGCAACUUCGGAAGGAAAUGAAUGCCGCGCGAAAGAUUUCCGUGCGAUUCAGUUACGUCUGGGUCAUAGGUGUCACCUACGGGAUCAUUCACUGGUGCCUAAACCCGUUGUUCUUCAAGUGGAAACUGAGUAGAGUAGACGUCAGUUUGGCGAUGAGAGACAGAACUCUGCCGUACGAGAGCUGGAGUCCGUGGGAUCUGAAUCGGGUCGAAGUCUACGGAUACGUUUACUUGAUUCAAGUUUUGGGCGGUCUUGCUUCCAGCAUAGGAAGUGUCGCGUAUGAUAUAAUGUUCCUGACGUUGGUGAUAAUGAUAUGCGCCCAAUUGGGCUACCUAAAUUAUGCAUUGGUACACAAGCCGCAUAGCUAUCCAACCAUGACAUCUUCGGAGAAAAAGAAGCUGACGUGUGUCUUGCUUCGGAAUAAACUAGUCCGUAGCAAGAAUCAUCACGAUGCUAUUUUGGCAUUUUUGGCUGGCUUGCAAAAAGUCACCAGCCCAGUGAUGUUCGUUCAGUGUAUCGGAACCAUCGGCAUACUUUGUUUGGUCUCCUUCGAAGUAAUGACUAUGAAGCUGAAGGGGGAUGUUGCAAACGUGACAAAAAUUUGGAGUAUGGUGGAAUAUAUCAGCUCUUGCUUUGCUCAGCUAUUCUUUUUUUGUUACUACGCCGAUCACAUGACGACAUUGGGACUGAAAAUCAGCGAUUCGACUUACAGCUCUGGUUGGGAAUCUGUGACUGACGAUGAAAAAAACUCUGCAUCUGACAGAAAAUCUAUCGGAUUUAUAGUGCGUGAAAUAAUGGUCAGAGCUCAACGGCACGUUCAAUUAACCGGUGGGCCUUUCUACGUUCUUUCGUUACGAACUUAUCGUGCAGUGGUCGGAGCUGCAUUUUCAUAUUCAGCGGUGCUCCGAGAAGUCGGCGCGGAAUAGAAAAAAGACGAAAAAAAAUUCGGAUCAUAAUCUAAGUUCGGAAAGUCUACUAGCGUAUAGGUCAUUAUAAACCCAAAGUAAACUCGGCGUAAUAGACGUAGCGCCAGAUAUCAGAGUGUGAAUUAAGAAUGGCUACGCCGUACAUGUCGCUACUAUUGCAAGGGAGCCAGUGAAAAUCGCCAGGGUGGGUCGAGCGUAGCGGCAAUAAGUGGAAGUCGAGAGUGGCUGGUCGGCCCGAAGCCAGCCCAACGGCAGCAGUGAUCGCAUGAGGAAAAGAUAGAGGUACAAGCGCAAGCGCUCGUUCGUUUCAUAGCUUACGGAACGGCUUCUCGCGUGUACUGGUAUCCUGGUAAAAAGGCGACGCGCCGCAGAUGACUCGCGCACCCGGUGCGCACUUGGCGUGCGUGAUCACCUAUUUCGACGCACCCGGAUCUGCUCUGGCUUUGCCACGGCAUCGGCGCCUCGCGCAUCGACGCGACGGGGAACGAUCCAACCUCUAAUAUAACCAGUCCAACUCCAUCAGCGCAGGCAACCCAAUCCCCGAUAGAUGGAGUGAAGCGGCUACAACGAAGAGUCCGAAAUGGAACGUGCAGAAACGUGGAGCGUAGAUUAAUUGUCAAGUGUUAAAGAUAGAAAAUCGCGCUUCUGGGCUCUGGCAAGCGAACAUGAAGCAGACGCAAAAUCGUGAUGACUUGUGAUUUAUUUUGUUACCCGAAUGGAAAGAUUCUCACAAUCAGACUCCCCCACGCGUCUGAAUCGCUGGUCGGCCGGCCGAGGGCCACCCACAACCGUGUACGAAACCCGCGCUUUGAUCAGGAGAGUAUGAGUCAAGAGGGGGUCGAGCUGAGCUCCAAUGCUUUGCUGAGCGCCUGAUACUUUGUAGGCGACUGCCGAAUGCACGUGGUUGUCUCUCGCCCGUUAUUGGCGCCUACUUACCCGGUCCAGUGUCAUCGUCACGCCUUUUCUCCAAGUAGAUCCUCAGUGAUGAGUAGAUUCUACGUUACAACUCAGUAUCGAAGUCGGAGUGGGGAUCUACGGAUGUUUAAACGCGCUGCACACCGCGACCCUAGGCAGAGGGACGAGACACAGCCAACCUUUGGGCUCCUCAAGCUUCCUAAUCUCCUGAUUCAGAAUCCGCGGGAUGCGGGCUCUCUAAGGCAGAGAUCGGUAUGCGUCACGUGUGAAUCACGUAGAAGUUCGCCCUCCACCAAAGCGUCUUCAGCGUCAUCUCCGUCGGCCCUGAGGCCUGGACUACGAGACGGUGUAUCAUUGACACCCGCAACGGAGCCACUCACCUGCCCAUCAAAAGACGCAAAGUCAUCCGCGCUGGCUAACCAAGUAUCGGGCAAUCAUGAGGACGCAGAGUAGCCGGAGCGAGGAUCGAGACGAGAGCAGCGUCGGUACCGCCUCCUGGCCGAUAUGUUCGCCUUGUGGGUCUUUGGCGAAAUGUGGACGCCUUUCGGGAACUGUUUUUCCCUCGAUACCCUUAACGGCUAAAUCCAACGUACCCGGGCGAGCGGGACUCUUACGGUCACGACGUUACCCACCUGAAUGAGGAUCUUGUAAUCUUUGACGAAAAGCACCGACCGCGAUCGUACGGUGUAUGGGAAUAAGGGAAUCACGGUACAUAUCUGGCGAGGCUGACACCUGUGCAUCUUCAUGUACUGAUUGGUACUUACUUACGUACUGGCUGACUUGCUCAAUUUCUCUUCACCAAUAUUUCAUCGGGUAUAGAUUAUCGCCCGAUUUAUCCCGCGGUAGCGAACAUCAGCCGAGUCCACUUGCCUAGAAAAAAGUCGUAAGAUGGCAGCAGCCUUCGAGGGUGAAACUCAGAUGGGUUGCAAUGGAAACGGGACGGCGUGCGGUCAAUGGACGGGCAGGAGGGAUCUGAAGAAAUGAAUUUUAUUUAACGACCGAU
RNAcentral lists this unclassified non-coding RNA (3777 nucleotides) under Neodiprion pinetum (white pine sawfly). RNAcentral describes it as "odorant receptor 85c-like, transcript variant X6". The record is from RNAcentral. Lineage: Eukaryota; Metazoa; Arthropoda; Insecta; Hymenoptera; Diprionidae.